Molecule: non-coding RNA, 945 nt
Organism: Benincasa hispida (wax gourd)
Lineage: Eukaryota; Viridiplantae; Streptophyta; Magnoliopsida; Cucurbitales; Cucurbitaceae
Source: RefSeq, a predicted model, not a curated record
CCUAUUUUCCCUUCUCAUUCUUCAUUGCCUGCCCCCUUCCCCUCGAAAAUUUUCCUUCCCGUCACCGUCACCCAUCGCUCGGCCGCUCGUCCAAACUAUCACCAUCCAUCCAGCCAUCCGGUCGACACAUCUCAAAUCUCGUGGCCAAAGCCUCCCCCUAGCGCGCCGCCUCGAAACUCAAGCCGACCGAUCCAAUCGCGUGACCCAUACUAGUCCAGCCACGCCGUUGUCCAGAUUUAGUCCUCACGUAGCCGCUCGCUCGCCUGACACUGCCGCCAUUGGAAUCUCACCGUCAAUUGAAUCUCCUCCUCCCUACGAGCCAUUGAUCCCUCCGCCGCUUGUCUCUCCCUCUCUCUUUCAGAUCUGACGACAUCGCAAGCCCCUCAGAUGUUCACAGCCACUGUUCUGUUGCCACAGUUGUUCGUGUGCCUCCCUCAGAUCAUCGUAGGCUGCCUUUAUUGUCAAAGUUAGUGGUUUUAGGUAAGUUUUGUUGUUUGGACUAAGGUUUGGGUAUUUUUCUUGGAAUUUAUAAAUGUUCAACAAGUUCUUGGCCUAAAAUCUCUUGGGUUUAUCUUAAAGAUGGAAUUGGAAUUUUUUCGAAAGGAAUUUAGGUGUUGUUCAUUGGAACUAAAAUCUAUUUCAGUGGAGAUUUUGAAGACUGAAUUUUUUUGGAGUGAGUAUUCACCAACCUUUGUCUUGAGGAUCUAAUUCAAAGUUUGUGAAAGCUGGAAAGAAGUUCGUUUGCUUGAAUUAAUUUUAGGCUCAAUUUUAAGAUAAAGCAGGGACACACUGGCGAAUGACAAGCGAAAUCCGUGAUCAAGCCAUUGGGACCAGUUUUAUGCUUCCACUCAUGAGAUUUAGAUUUCUUUUCAUGUUUUUCUUAACUUCUAGUUUUGAUGUUUGAAACUUACUAUUAAGAAUUGUUUUCAGACAUAUUUAUUAUCA